Long non-coding RNA from Pygocentrus nattereri (red-bellied piranha), 878 nucleotides. NCBI's taxonomy places the organism in Eukaryota, Metazoa, Chordata, Actinopteri, Characiformes, Serrasalmidae. The record is from Ensembl.
UUCUCUUUGUGUUUCUGCCUAAAUCACAUUCUUCAGUGAAGGUGAAGCUUCAUGACUCUGCUACUCUGUCCUGCUCUGAGAGAUGUUCUGGUUUAGCGAGAUGGACUGUGUUCCAUAAACCCAGAGAUGCUCUGGCUGAAUGUGAUCAGACUUCAUGUAGAUCAGUGAAGGAGGGAUAUCAGAUGAUCCAUGAUCAGUACCUGAAGGGGAAUCUCUCUCUCAGCAUCACUGACACUGAUUUCAGCAAGAGAACCUUAUACACGUGUGACUGUGAUGGUAAAGAUCUCUGUGACGUGGCCCUGAAGAUUGAAACUGUGAAUACUCUAGUUCAGAUAAAGGCCGGUGAAUCUCUGGUGCUGAAUUUGGACAUAUUAGAUCCGUUGGAGGUGAUUUACGACUGCAGAGGAGCAUCUGGAACAUUCAGUGGUCAGAUCUGUACAGUGGAUGGACAAUCACUAGAGUGUAAACCUGAAUAUAAACACAGAAUGUCUAAACUAACAUCUGAUCUAGAGCUGAGAGAAAUGAAGCCGUCUGAUAGUGGAGUUUACACUAUUCGGGACAUCAAGACUAAAGAGGACAUUCACGUCUAUUCAGUGAUUGUCCAAGGUAUGAAUUUACUGGGACUUCUGUAUUUUAUUUUAUGUAGAUAUGCUGAUGGGUAUGAAAGUUGAUAAAGUUUGUUUAUGAAGGGUAAAAAGUCUUUAAACCUAUAUUAUUCAUACUGUAUUCUGCCCUCACUUGAAAACCCUGCUUCUUCAGCAGAUAGAGAACUUGUCCAAACACUCUUGAGGUUUAAAGGGAUUUAUUUGCUGUCACCACUCAGUGGAAGAGUGCGCCAGGAACUCAGUAAAACUAAACACAAAAUGGUUCAAAUGAAC